UACGGAAGGCAGCAGUGGGGAAUAUUGCACAAUGGGCGAAAGCCUGAUGCAGCUAUGCCGCGUGUAUGAAGAAGGUCUUAGGGUUGUAAAGUACUUUCAUCGGGGAGGAAAAACAAAACUAAUAAUUUUAUUUCUUGACGUUACCCGAAAAAGAAGCACCGGCUAACUCCGUGCCAGCAGCCGCGGUAAUACGGAGGGUGCUAGCGUUAAUCAGAAUUACUGGGCGUAAAGAGCACGUAGGUGGUUUUUUUAAGUCAGAUGUGAAAUCCCUGGGCUUAACCUAGGAAACUGCAUUUUGAAACUGAAAUACUAGAGUAUCGUAGAGGGAGGUAGAAUUCUAGGUGUAGCGGUGAAAUGCGUAGAUAUCUGGAGGAAUACCUGUGGCGAAAGCGGCCUCCUAAACGAAUACUGACACUGAGGUGCGAAAGCGUGGGGAGCAAACAGGGAUUAGAUACC
This 456-nucleotide ribosomal RNA is filed under the name uncultured bacterium. RNAcentral's name for it is "bacterial SSU rRNA". It matches the Rfam family "Bacterial small subunit ribosomal RNA", at positions 340 to 786 of the family's 1533-position model. The record is from RNAcentral.